RNAcentral lists this long non-coding RNA (265 nucleotides) under Brassica napus (rape). RNAcentral describes it as "long non-coding RNA (BNAP_LNC008451)". The record is from RNAcentral. Lineage: Eukaryota; Viridiplantae; Streptophyta; Magnoliopsida; Brassicales; Brassicaceae.
GAGGAUAGCUACACAUAUCAAUCACGUAACGACCUUGGCAGUAGUGACUUCAUCUCCACACCGGCUUUUUAUGCUUCACCACCAAUGACGUCUUUAAGCUCCAUCAACAAAAGCUUGUUGCCUACUCCUCAAGACUCCACACCAAAAACUUGCCCAGCAUACAACGAGCUCGGCAAGAGACAUAUGUUCGAGUCUCAUUACACCAGUGAAGUCACGGCAGUCUAGUUAUGAUCUUGGCGGUAAGGGCAGACCAACAAGACGACUC